Molecule: ribosomal RNA, 253 nt
Filed under: uncultured bacterium
Lineage: Bacteria
Description: partial 16S ribosomal RNA
Rfam family: Bacterial small subunit ribosomal RNA
Source: RNAcentral
UACGUAGGCAGCGAGCGUUGUUCGGAGUUACUGGGCGUAAAGAGUGCGUAGGCGGUUUUCUAAGUUUGGUGUGAAAUCUCCCGGCUCAACUGGGAGGGUGCGCCGAAGACUGGAAGGCUUGAGUAUGGGAGAGGUAAGCGGAAUUCCUGGUGUAGCGGUGAAAUGCGUAGAUAUCAGGAGGAACACCGGUGGCGAAGGCGGCACUCUGGGCCGGUACUGACGCUGAGGAGCGAAAGCGUGGGGAGCGAACAGG